UACAUGGGGUGCAAACGUUGCUCGGAAUUAUUGGGCGUAAAGCGCACGUAGGCGGUUCGUUAAGUCGGAUGUGAAAGCCCUCGGCUCAACUGAGGAAGUGCACCCGAAACUGGCGAGCUUGAGUACGAAAGAGGAUCGCGGAAUUCCCGGUGUAGAGGUGAAAUUCGUAGAUAUCGGAAGGAACACCUGUGGCGAAAAGCGGCUCACUGGACCAUUACUGACGCUGAGGCACGAAAGCUAGGGGAGCAAACAGG
RNAcentral lists this ribosomal RNA (254 nucleotides) under uncultured bacterium. RNAcentral's name for it is "partial 16S ribosomal RNA". It matches the Rfam family "Bacterial small subunit ribosomal RNA", at positions 524 to 776 of the family's 1533-position model. The record is from RNAcentral.